ACAUCAAAACCUUUAUUAAAGAGCAUUUUUAAAUUUGCAGAGAAAAAAAAGCUGUAAUGAAUUUAUCUCUUUUUUCUUAAUCGAUGGGAACCGUUCGUUGUUGAACAAGAAUCAUUUAUGCUUUGCUGUCAAGUGAUUAUAUGCCGCAUUUAAGUCAAAGACGAAUGGUUUUAGUCAAUAGAAUUUGUUUGAAAAACUAUAAAUGCUUGUAUUUUUUCAAUCUUUUAUAUUGUUAUUAUUAUGGAUAUGUAAAUAACAUUAAAGUAAACCUGGAUUACCUAAAUUAAAGAACUUGUAAGCAGGUGCAGAUGAAGAUGCCCAAUGCCAAUGUUUUUGGUGAGAGUAUACAGGCUUAAUCGUAUUUUUAAGUACGUUUCUGCUUGUCAACUAAAAGGUUUUUACUGAUUCCAUAGUUGGUGGACACACGAUAGUUACGAAGAGCAAAUGCAAGCCAACGGUAUUCGAUUUUAGAUACUUGAUUCCGGUCAUUGGUACUUUGCUAAUUCUACUUUCCAACUUAAUUUCGUAUUCUACAUGUUUUCGUGCGGUAAUUCGCAACGCAAUCAUUCAUUUGAAUGAGGUAUUUAUAGAGAUUAACUUAAGAAAAUCUAAGGUAUAAUUAAAGAAUGAACUAUGCAGUCUCAGCAAGUUUUGCAAGGGAUUCAACGUAGUAAUCAGGAACAACAGGUGCAUCCUUCUCAAGAAUCUCUUCUUCCUUACUGACACCAGUCAAUACUAACAAAGAACCCCCAAGGUUGGAAUUCUUGGCAAAUUGAAUAUCUGUGUUGAGUCGAUCUCCCACAAAGCAAGCCUUCUUUCUAUCAAAAUUCACAUUAGCUAUGAUGGCUUCCAUCAUCUCAUCAUAAGGCUUUCCAAGGAUUUUAGGUUGACGUCCAGUUGAAAAGAUUAACGGAUAUGAAAUUGCUCCAGAACCGGGUAAAAACUUUCCGUUUGUAGGAAAAGUGGAAUCUUGGUUCGUCAAAAGGAAUGCGCAGUUAGGGUCUUGAAGGUAUUGGAAAGCCAUGCAAUAUUUCAAAUAGGUGACAUGCAUAUCCAUACCACAUAACACAGCACCUACAGAAGGAUCAGGACCAAUCUUCUCAACAUCUUCAGAAGCUAAUGCACGUCUCAACGACGGGUCCGUUCCACCAAUAUGAGCAACCCCUACUCUAUCAAGCUCAUCUUCGAUACCUGCUUCUCCAAGUACAAAAACUUUCUUAUCGGCAGGAAGCUUUAGCACUUUCUUUACAUAAGUAGCUGAUGAAUAAGCACUAGGGUAGAUUUCCUCAAGUUUGGCUGCAAUACCGUGUUCAUUGAUUUUAUUCAUAUAUGUUUCUCUUGAUUUCGUAGAAUUGUUUGAGACAAAAAUAAUUUGUUUUCCUGUAAAAGAGUUAACUCAAAAGAAUAAAAGGGACUUACCUAAAGAACGAAGGAGCUUCAUGGUAUCCGUAACUCCUGGUAUAGGCUUACUGCCGCUCCAAAGUACACCUGCGUGUUAGCCUACAAAUAGAUUUCAUAUUUUUGCUAGCGCUUACCAUCACAGUCGAACAAAAAAACAUCGAAUUUAUCAAUGAAUUCUUUAUAUUCCUUGGGUGAUGAAAGUUUUUUAGCCAUUCUUAAAGUUGGUUAAAGUGGUAAGGUGGUAGGCGUUCGACAUAUCCGUUAUAUUUAUAAUCUUCGGUUAGAUGUUCCUUUCUGAUAGUGAUGAUCGACUUCAUAUUAAGCUUAAAACUUACAUCUUCUUUACUUUACGAAACCUUAUUGCGU
Non-coding RNA from Schizosaccharomyces pombe (fission yeast), 1767 nucleotides. NCBI's taxonomy places the organism in Eukaryota, Fungi, Ascomycota, Schizosaccharomycetes, Schizosaccharomycetales, Schizosaccharomycetaceae. The record is from the annotation of a GenBank genome assembly.